This 498-nucleotide ribosomal RNA is filed under the name uncultured bacterium. RNAcentral describes it as "partial 16S ribosomal RNA". It matches the Rfam family "Bacterial small subunit ribosomal RNA", at positions 30 to 523 of the family's 1533-position model. The record is from RNAcentral.
AUUGAACGCUGGCGGCAUGCCUUACACAUGCAAGUCGAACGGUAACAGGUCUUCGGAUGCUGACGAGUGGCGAACGGGUGAGUAAUACAUCGGAACGUGCCUAGUAGUGGGGGAUAACUACUCGAAAGAGUGGCUAAUACCGCAUGAGAUCUAAGGAGGAAAGCAGGGGAACGUAAGACCUUUUGCUACUAGAGAGGCCGAUGGCAGAUUAGGUAGUUGGUGGGAUAAAAGCUUACCAAGCCGACGAUCUGUGGCUGGUCUGAGAGGAAGAUCAGCCACACUGGGACUGAGAAACGGCCCAGACUCCUACGGGAGGCAGCAGUGGGGAAUUUUGGACAAUGGGCGCAAGCCUGAUCCAGCAAUGCCGCGUGCAGGAUGAAGGCCUUCGGGUUGUAAACUGCUUUUGUACGGAACGAAAAGCCCCGGGUUAAUACCCUGGGGUCAUGACGGUACCGUAAGAAUAAGCACCGGCUAACUACGUGCCAGCCGCCGCGGUAA